RNAcentral lists this non-coding RNA (45 nucleotides) under Trichobilharzia regenti. Lineage: Eukaryota; Metazoa; Platyhelminthes; Trematoda; Strigeidida; Schistosomatidae. The record is from RNAcentral.
AGUUAGCUGACGAGUCCCAAAUAGGACGAAAUGCGCAUCCAGGAU